This 253-nucleotide ribosomal RNA is filed under the name uncultured bacterium. RNAcentral describes it as "partial 16S ribosomal RNA". It matches the Rfam family "Bacterial small subunit ribosomal RNA", at positions 524 to 776 of the family's 1533-position model. The record is from RNAcentral.
UACAGAGGGUGCGAGCGUUAAUCGGAAUUACUGGGCGUAAAGGGUGCGUAGGUGGUUAUAUAAGUUAGGUGUGAAAGUCCCGGGCUUAACCUGGGGAUUGCGCCUGAUACUGUGUAGCUAGAGUGCUGUAGAGGAAAGUGGAAUUUCCGGUGUAGCGGUGAAAUGCGUAGAUAUCGGAAGGAACAUCGGUGGCGAAGGCGACUUUCUGGACAGACACUGACACUGAGGCACGAAAGCAUGGGGAGCAAACAGG